AGAUCAUGAUGUGGGAAGUUCCUUAGUAAGCCCUUGUAUCUCUCACAUGCCUCAAAAAGUGAUUCGCUAGCUUGUUGCUCAAAGUUUGCUAUGGCUUUCUUCAACUU
Small nucleolar RNA from Lactuca sativa (garden lettuce), 107 nucleotides. The record is from RefSeq and is a predicted model, not a curated record. NCBI's taxonomy places the organism in Eukaryota, Viridiplantae, Streptophyta, Magnoliopsida, Asterales, Asteraceae.